AAUAGCAAGGACAAGUUUACCAAAAAAAAAAAAAGAUUAGAAAUGAAUCAGAAUGUGAUAACAAGAGGGUCAAGACAUCAUCGAUUUAAAAAGGGAAGUCAUCACAAAAGAUUCAAUCCUGUGUACGAUGCGAGUUAAAUUAUGAAAUAAGUUUGUAUUUGUAGGUGACUGGAGCCUAUUUUGCUUGUGAAAAUUUGGAUCAUAAAAUAAAAGACUGCCCUUUGGACAAGAAGAAAGAAUCACUGGCUCAUAAAUCAUCAGCCCAUGUCAGAGUGUAUGUUAUCACGGAAUAU
Molecule: long non-coding RNA, 293 nt
Filed under: Musa acuminata (dwarf banana)
Lineage: Eukaryota; Viridiplantae; Streptophyta; Magnoliopsida; Zingiberales; Musaceae
Description: long non-coding RNA (MACU_LNC011312)
Source: RNAcentral